This 231-nucleotide long non-coding RNA is filed under the name Brachypodium distachyon (stiff brome). RNAcentral describes it as "long non-coding RNA (BDIS_LNC003897)". The record is from RNAcentral. Lineage: Eukaryota; Viridiplantae; Streptophyta; Magnoliopsida; Poales; Poaceae.
UGCGAGCUCAGUAUAGGUGCAUGCAUAGCCAUGGCGAUGCGUCGGUAAGACGCGGGUGCUCCUCUGAAAGAUCGGUAUGGUCGACUAGAGGGGUGGAGGGUGAAUAGGGGACUAACAAAUUUUAGCUUUUCUUUUUUCUUUUCUUGAAAGAUACAAACACUUAAUCCUAGGAUUUACUAGAUUCUUUAAAGUGAAUGCAACCCUAGAAUGAAAUGCAAUAGCCGAAGCAAU